AUGGGAACGCGAAGAACCUUACCUAGACUUGACAUCUCCUGAAUUAAUCGUAAUUGAUGAAAUCCCUUCGGGGACAGGAAGACAGGUGGUGCAUGGUUGUCGUCAGCUCGUGUCGUGAGAUGUUAGGUUAAGUCCUGCAACGAGCGCAACCCUUAUCAUUAGUUGCUAACAUUUAGUUGAGCACUCUAGUGAGACUGCCCGGGUUAACCGGGAGGAAGGUGGGGAUGACGUCAAAUCAUCAUGCCCCUUAUGUCUAGGGCUACACACGUGCUACAAUGGUGGGAACAAAGAGAUGCAAGACCGCGAGGUGAAGCCAAACUCAAAAACCCAUCCCAGUUCGGAUUGUAGGCUGAAACUCGCCUACAUGAAGCUGGAGUUGCUAGUAAUCGCGAAUCAGAAUGUCGCGGUGAAUACGUUCCCGGGUC
Molecule: ribosomal RNA, 425 nt
Filed under: uncultured bacterium
Lineage: Bacteria
Description: bacterial SSU rRNA
Rfam family: Bacterial small subunit ribosomal RNA
Source: RNAcentral